UAGUACUGAUCGCCGCCGACUUUAGCAGGGGCUUGUGUAGGCGGCGCGGCCGAGGAGUGCCGCUCGCUGGUGGAGCGGCGCGGCUGGCGCGAGGGCGAGCACUUCCACAGAGUCGAGCCUACCCUGGUCUGCCACGACGGAGAAAGUGUGCAGGGAUCACACGUGAUGCUGGAAUGCGGCAGCUACGUGCUUCAAUGGCGCUGUGAGCUACUAGACUCGGCUCAUCGCGCCGCGCAGCUGGUCUACUUCCACGAGACGCUCGCCAGCCACCACUACAAGGGCUCGAUGUCCAGCCUGCAGUCCGGCACGAGCGGGUUCUCGUGCCUCAGCGGCAAGUCGGGCGCCAGCUCGUGCCCGUCGCGGUGAUGCCCUCCCCGCAGCCCGCUCAGCCCCCCCCUCGAGCGAAGCUAGGCCCGGGGGGGCGCGCCCGCCAACUACUACUGCCAGAGGUCUAGUAAAGUGGUCAGUAAUGGCGCCCUAAAAGAUUUGACAGAUGUACUGUGAAGUGUUAUGAUGAUUCUUUAGUCUGUGACGAAGGGGCGGGGCUUAGCUCAGUAACGCCCCAACACUGUAAAUAGAUGAACUAGGUUUGCGCGCCCGCCAACUACUACUGCCGGCGGUCCAGCAGAGUGGUCAGUAAUGGCGCCCUAAAAGAUUUAACAGAUUUACUGUGAAGUGUUAUGAUAAUUCUUUAGUCUGUGACGAAGGGGGCGGGGCUUAGCUCAGCCGCUUAACACUGUAAAUAAUUGGACUAGGUUGGCGCGCCCGCCAACUUCUACUGCCGGCGGUCCAGCAGAGUGGUCAGUAAUGUGGGCGCCCUAAAAGAUUUAACAGAUGUACUGUGAAGUAUUAUGAUGAUUCUUUAGUCUGUGACGAAGGGGGCGGGGCUUAGCUCAGCCGUUUAACACUAAAUAAUUGAACUAAGUUUGCGCGCCCGCUAACUACUACUGCCGGAGAUCCAGCAGAGUGGUCAGUAAUGGCGCCUUAAAAGAUUUGACAGAUGUACUGUGAAGUGUUAUGAUGAUUCUUUAGUCUGUGACGAAGGGGGCGGGACUUAGCUCAGCCGCUUAACACUGUAAAUAAUUAAACUAGCUUUGCGCGCCCGCUAACUACUACUGCCGGAGAUCUAGCAGAGUGGUCAGUAAUGUGGGUGCCCUAAAACAUUCACCAGCAGAUGUACUGUGUCUGUGUGAAGGGGGCGGGGCUUAGCACAGUCGUUUAACGCCCCAACACUGUAAAAACGCCCUAAAAAAUUCAUCAGAUGUACGUUAUGUUCUGUGUCUUACUUUACUCAGCCGCUUAACACUGUAAAUAAUUGGACUAGGUUGGCGCGCCCGCCAACUUCUACUGCCGGCGGUCCAGCAGAGUGGUCAGUAAUGGCGCCCUAAAAGAUUUAACAGAUGUACUGUGAAGUGUUAUGAUGAUUCUUUAGUCUGUGACGAAGGGGGCGGGGCUUAGCUCGGUCGCUUAGCGCCCCAACACUGUAAAUAGUUGAACUAGGUUUGCGCGCCUGCGAACUACUACUGCCGGAGAUCCAGCAGAGUGGUCAGUAAUGGCGCCUUAAAAGAUUUAACAGAUGUACUGUGAAGUGUUAUGAUGAUUCUUUAGUCUGUGACAAAGGGGGCGGGGCUUAGCUCGGUCGCUUAACGCCCCAACACUGUAAAUAAAUGAACUAGGUUUGCGCGCCCGCUAACUACUCCUGCCGGAGAUCCAGCAGAGUGGUCAGUAAUGUGGGCGCCCUAAAAGAUUUAACAGAUGUACUGUGAAGUGUUAUGAUAAUUCUUUAGUCUGUGACGAAGGGGGCGGGGCUUAGCUCAGCCGUUUAACAUUAAAUAAUUGAACUAGGUUUGCGCGCCCGCCAACUACUACUGCCGGAGGUCCAGCAGAGUGGUCAGUAAUGUGGGCGCCCUAAAAGAUUCACCAGCAAAUGUACUGUGAAGUGUUAUAAUCUUUAAUCUGUGACGAAGGGGGCCGGGCUUAGCUCAGUCGUUUAACGCCCCAACACUGUAAAUAAUUGACACUAGUUUUGGGUGAUGGGACUUGUUAGGUUUAAGCGAGCCUUUCCUCUAUCGUGUAGGCCGUUAACCUUAAUGUCAAACUAUUAAUUGCAUUUGAUAUGCAUUAUAAACAGCAUAGACAAUUAGGUUGAAUUUGGCCAGUGACAUCCUAAAAAAGCUGUAGCACCACGAAGUAGUUUGUUAGUGCAACAGCACUUGAGGUGCUCUUACUAAUAACACACGUAUUUAUAUGCUCAUAAGAGUUAUUUUCUUAUGGACAUAAAUACGUGUGAGUGAAAUAAAGUAUCGCCUUGUCUCUGUCUUAACUGAGCUGGAUAAUCGGGCGAUCUGUAACAUAAAAAUCUGAAUUAGAAUAAAGAUAGUGACAAUACAGGCAGGUCUGUGGCAACAACGUGUAAAUAACAAAUAUGACUGCCUUGACGGUUUUAAAGUUAAACUUAAAUGUAUCUUAUCAUGAUAAGAACGACAUAAAAUUAUAUGCUGCGGAUAUUUUCAUAAAGUAUGAAAUUUUAUCGAUGCAGAGAAAGAGAAAAGGUAGUGAAAUACAUUAAAUCAAUUAAUCUGAAGGUAGACGCCUCUUUUCUUUUUUGGUUAAUUAAAAAGUCAUCAGUGUCUUGUCUUUUGACAUUUAUUAACUAAGAAAAGAGGUGUAUCUUGUGAGAGAAUCUUUGUAUGAAAGCCAAUGUAAUAGAAUAUUAACUGUUACAUUUAGGUAAUGAUUAAUAGUGACGACUAUUUCUUCAAUUAUAAUAAGAUUAUAGUAGGUAAAUUCAUCAAUGCAAAUUCACCAUUAGUAGUUAGGUUGGUGACUAUCAUUUGUGAAUAAUGAUUUUAUGAAUACUAAGCUGGGCUUGGACGGUAUCAUAAAAUAUGUGAUAGAAUAUAAAUUAAUAGACGAAUUGACGGUUUUGACUUUUAGGAAGAUGGUUAAGUAAUUUUCUGCUAUUUUCAAUAAUAGGUUAUUCAUAAUAGUAAAAGAUGUUCAUUGUGAACACGACCUGUGUUUAACAUUACAUAUUUUAUUAUGUACCUAGUACCUACUCUGUAAAAAAUCGGUACGAAAUUGGUACUGUACCGAGCUAAUCUUUCUUAACAUUCUAAAGGUAGUGACUCCAGGGAGUUAGAAAAAAUACCUUGUUAAAGUUUUCAACGCAUCUUUAUAGUGCUUACUAUACUUAUUCGCUCACUAUACUUGCAUAGUUCAUUAACAUUUACCCCGUCUAGUUAAUAACCAAGUCGGCGAUUGUCUUAAGUUUUUGACUUUUUUGAUCAGUUGUUGAUUCGUUAAUCAUACGUAAAUUAAUAAUUAAGAUAGUAAAAAUACACUUUUGUGAUAUAAAAAAUAAAUAAAAAUAACUUGUGAUGGUAUUGUAAACGACACUUGUGUGGGUUGGGUUAAAUAAAAAAGGUUAAAAUAAAUUGCAAGCUUGGAACGUUGCACAGUGUUUUAUUUUGCCUCAGAAG
Molecule: long non-coding RNA, 3482 nt
Organism: Ostrinia nubilalis (European corn borer)
Lineage: Eukaryota; Metazoa; Arthropoda; Insecta; Lepidoptera; Crambidae
Exons: 3
Source: RefSeq, a predicted model, not a curated record